CUAGAUCUCUUCUGGAAGACAAACAUGAAUAGAAUUAUUCCUUUCACCAAAUGCAUUUGUUUGCACUUUCCAAAAGUCAUUAUCAAAUUGUGGCAGGGUGGAUGUUCGAAAUUCCAAACGCAUUUUCUGUUCAGCUCCUAAGUGCAGUGAUCUAUUUUUCUAUUGCACGAACUUGCUGAUUUUAGUAGGCCAAGCAUAGUGCUUAUUUUAUGAUAUAAAUGCAUCUCCUUGGAACAUUUCCUUCAAUUUCCUUUUCUCCCUCCAACAGUUUUACCUAGUCACACGUGUGGAAACCCUGGGGAGAUACUGAAAGGAGUUCUCCAUGGAACGAGGUUCAACAUAGGCGACAAGAUCAGAUACAGCUGUCUCUCCGGCUACAUCUUGGAAGGUCACGCCAUUCUGACUUGCAUCGUCAGCCCAGGGAAUGGUGCAUCCUGGGACUUCCCAGCUCCUUUCUGCAGAGCUGAGGGAGCCUGCGGGGGAACCCUAAGGGGAACCAGCGCUUCCAUAUCCAGCCCUCACUUCCCCUCAGAGUACGACAACAAUGCAGACUGCACGUGGACCAUCUUGGCUGAGCCUGGGGACACCAUUGCUCUUGUUUUUACUGACUUCCAGCUGGAGGAAGGAUACGACUUUUUAGAGAUCAGCGGGACAGAAGCGCCGUCCAUAUGGUGAGUUUGAGUAGUCAUGUGAGCUGUCAGUAGUCUUUGCAUCUAUUUGGGGAGAAAGAGGAUCUGCUACAUGUUGUCAGUGGAUUGUUGUUGGCUAACUUGACUGUUGUAUUUAUAACAGAAUGCUAACAUUGAGUAUGGUAUUUUUUCCCCUUGAUGCUCUGUUGUAACCUGUUUCAGUGUCUGAGGUGUUUCUACACUGGCAUUUGAAGCUAGAAAAGACAUGAGCACUUGAAUAGUUUUGCAUUCUCUCAUAUAACACUCAAAUCUUCCCAGGAAGAGCUUAGGAGGACCCCUUGGCCUUGACUCUCAUCUAGAGAUGAUGCAGUAUGAGCAGAUGUGUUUAGGCUUUGAGAUUUUAAAAUGGUGAGGAAAAUGGCAGCGGGAACACGAUGCAUUUCCGCCCCUUUGUGAAGAGGGACAGGCAACUCCAGAACUGCCUGUGAGGAAAUAUCUCAAAACAGAGAUAGUGUGGACUCUAGCAUGAUGUACGCUGAGUCUGGCCAACUGGAGGUCAGGAGUUGAGUGCAUGACAGAAAGGAGAUUGAAGUCAGCCGUGCUUGUAACAGAGCUGACUUCACUGUGUCCCCAGCUAUAGUUCUAAAAUGGAAAGUUAAAAAGACAGAUAUAAAAUGGCUUGAUUCCAGCUUCAUAUCUCUGGACUACAUGUUGCAGGUUGUACUUUCUAUUGUUUUAAUUAUUUAAAUGAUUUUGGUAUGUUAAAGUUGCUUCUAGUCCUCUAGUUUGGGCUUUGAGCCAUGAGCUAAUUUGAGAAUCAUAAUCACAGGCACAACGGAACAACUGGUCAUGUGUGUAUAAGCAGAAGAGUUAUUGGAGAAAGUGUUAAAAUAUUCCAAUGGUUUUCAGGCUUUACUUGUGUUCAGAAGUGAAGGGAUGACAAAGCUAAAUGUGUAAGCUGAUAGGAGAUCCUCCUUACACCAGUCUUUAACAUGGAGCCAAAUCACUUGGUUUUCCAUAACUAGAAGCUCUGUGUUCACAAAAAUGGAUACAUAAUUUUCUCCCUUGAGUUUUAUUUCUCUUAUGUUAAAUAUUAUUCCAAUUACAGAAGUAAAAACAAAAAUAGAACGUCAUUAGAAUACAGCUGUAUGACUCCUGGGCACACAGCCAACGGACUUUACAUCUUACUAGAGUCAUUUGCACAUCCAUAUUUACUGUGGGCUCUACCUGCAGGACAAAGAAAAUGUAAUCAACCUAAAUGUCCAUCAAUAAAUAUUGAGUAGAUAAAUAGUAAAUAAUGAAAAUGUUGCAUAUAAAUUUGGUAGAAUUUUAUUCAGCUGUAAAGAAAAACUUUGCAUAAAAUUGAUAUACCUAGAAAAAAAUACAUUAAUUGAAGUGACCCAGAUUUAAAAGGACAUCUAUGUAGGAAAAAUGUUCAUGCACAUAAAACAAUAAGAUGUGUGUGUCUGUGUGUGUAAAUACAGAAGUCCAUGAUGUGCAUAAAGACUUUAAAGGAAGAUAUUAGGAAGGUAUUUGAACAUUGGAUAGACAGUAAAAAGGAGAAUGUGGAGGGGAGACAUAGACAGGAACAAGGGGAUAGCUGGGGUAAGAAUGAUAUGAGGAUCAACCAAGAAUAAGCACAAAAAUGCCUUUGAGAAACACACCACUGUGUGUUGAUUUUAGCAAAGUCCACAACCACUGUCAUGAACUGUACCAUUUUAUUCACCUUUAAUAUGACUUUGACAUCAGCCAUUGUUCUUCAUCCUCAUGUAUUGGCUACAACUCUUACUCAUCUUGUAUUACUGAGAAUUAGAGCUAUGAAUGCUGAGGCUCACUGAAAACUCUGAACUUCAUUACUAGUCACUCUGACUUAAAUGAGGCCCUAAGAAGCCACGUUUAAAUGCUUUUUAAGUUCAUGAAAAAAGUCAUUAAUCAUGUGCCAAUUGUUGCUGUAGAAACAAGUUAUCCAAAUACUUCAAACUAUUUAAAUACAUAAAUAUUUUAUGGGGAACUACUUUAUAACUAUCUAAAGUGUUUGGAAUAAAAAGUAUAUGGUAAAUGAGUUGCAGAAAUUACUUGGUUAACUUUAAAUUUGUGAGAACCUGGGUAUGUUGGGUAUUGGGUGUUGGAUGUUGACUGAUAGUGUUGAUACAAGGUGUCAGAGUGAGGGAGAGAUUGGAAAACAGGAAUGAACUUACUGUUUAUAAAGUGUGGUGUGGCUUUUUGCCAAGUAAAAUGGAGAGUGUGGGAGUUCAGGGAACAGCGUAAGUGACUGAAAUAGAAAGAGAACCCAAGGCAGUUGCCAGAGAGGUGAUUGUCACUCCAAAACGGGGAGCAACUCCUUCCUGUGUUACUGUCACAGAGGAGAAAAAUGUCUGCUCUGUUCUCGGGCCAGAGGACAUUCUGUUUUCUGGAAUCUCCAUUUCUGUAUGCAUCCCACAUGAAUCCCUUCCUAUUCCUCACCCCUCUCUUCCCUUUCUCUAAUCUUCAUUGAUUUAAUUCCUUAUUCAUUACAAAUUAAUUAUCUCCUCCUCAUCCCCUCAUCGCCAUUCUCUCAACCCCUCAUCUCCAUCCUCUCAUCCCUUCAUCCCAUCCCUCUUCCUUUCCCAUUUGUUCUUCUCUUCCCUUUUGCUCCUCUUUCCCCUCCCUUCCUCUCCUCCUAGGCUCCUUAUUGUCUCUUAUUCACCACAAGUAAGUCAUCUUCCCUGUCCUUUGCUUUUUCUCUCCUGUAUCUCCCUCUUCCUCCCUUCUGUUCCCUUCUGUUCCCUUCCGUUCCCUUCCGUUCCCUUCCGUUCCCUUCCGUUCCCUUCCGUUCCCUUCCCUUCCCUUCCC
This 3461-nucleotide long non-coding RNA is filed under the name Rattus norvegicus (Norway rat). RNAcentral's name for it is "long non-coding RNA NONRATT032204". Lineage: Eukaryota; Metazoa; Chordata; Mammalia; Rodentia; Muridae. The record is from RNAcentral.